CCCUUAGAUGUUCUGGGCCGCACGCGCGCUACACUGACUACUUCAACGAGUUGUUUCCUUGAUCGAAAGGUCUGGGUAAUCUUUGAAAGGUAGUCGUGAUGGGGAUAGAUCCUUGCAAUUUUUGAUCUUCAACGAGGAAUUCCUAGUAAACGCAAGUCAUCAGCUUGCAUUGAUUACGUCCCUGCCCUUUGUACACACCGCCCGUCGCACCUACCGAUUGAAUGGUCCGGUGAAUCUUUAGGACUGUGGCUGAGGCCUUGCCUUGUGCGGGUCUGGCCGUGGGAAUUUAGUUAAACCCUACCAUUUAGAGGAAGGUGAAGUCGUAACA
Molecule: ribosomal RNA, 328 nt
Filed under: uncultured eukaryote
Lineage: Eukaryota
Description: partial 18S ribosomal RNA
Rfam family: Eukaryotic small subunit ribosomal RNA
Source: RNAcentral